RNAcentral lists this ribosomal RNA (258 nucleotides) under uncultured bacterium. Its description in RNAcentral is "partial small subunit ribosomal RNA". It matches the Rfam family "Bacterial small subunit ribosomal RNA", at positions 26 to 285 of the family's 1533-position model. The record is from RNAcentral.
AGGACGAACGCUGGCGGCGUGCUUAACACAUGCAAGUCGAACGAUGAACUUCCUUCGGGAGGGGAUUAGUGGCGAACGGGUGAGUAACACGUGGGCAAUCUGCCCUUCACUCUGGGACAAGCCCUGGAAACGGGGUCUAAUACCGGAUAUGACACGGGGUCGCAUGAUCUCCGUGUGGAAAGCUCCGGCGGUGAAGGAUGAGCCCGCGGCCUAUCAGCUUGUUGGUGGGGUGAUGGCCUACCAAGGCGACGACGGGUA